UGAGGAAUAUUGAGCAAUGGGCGAAAGCCUGACUCAGCAACGCCGCGUGGGCGAUGAAGGCCUUCGGGUCGUAAAGCCCUUUUCUGAGGGACGAGAAAGGACGGUACCUCAGGAAUAAGUCACGGCUAACUACGUGCCAGCAGCCGCGGUAAUACGUAGGUGGCCAGCGUUAUCCGGAAUCACUGGGCGUAAAGCGCGUGUAGGUGGUUCCGUAAGUCGGACGUGAAAUCUCCUGGCUUAACUGGGAGGGGCCGUUCGAUACUGCGGAUCUUGAGGUCGGGAGAGGGACGUGGAAUUCCCGGUGUAGUGGUGGAAUGCGUAGAUAUCGGGAGGAACACCAGUGGCGAAGGCGGCGUCCUGGCCCGCACCUGACACUCAGACGCGAAAGCGUGGGGAGCGAACGGG
RNAcentral lists this ribosomal RNA (405 nucleotides) under uncultured Anaerolineae bacterium. RNAcentral describes it as "bacterial SSU rRNA". It matches the Rfam family "Bacterial small subunit ribosomal RNA", at positions 355 to 776 of the family's 1533-position model. Lineage: Bacteria; Bacillati; Chloroflexota; Anaerolineae. The record is from RNAcentral.